AGAUGGGGGUCGCGGCUGCCCUGAGCAUGGGGGAGAAACCGCGGCUCUACGACCCGCCCAUCAACGAGGAGCAGGCCUGAGCCGUGGGCUACCAGCGCUGCGGACGCCGUGAGCGCUCCGCCGCGCACAUCCUCGUCCUGAGGGGGGGCGCCCUCACCCCGACGCGGGAGAGCCGCCCCUGCCGCAGGAAACUAGCCAAGAAGUGGAAGGAGACGAUGAGCAGCACCUAGCCCAAGAUGACCGUCAUGGUGAACUCAAUGGACAAGAGCUAUGUGGAGCAAGGUGCAAACUACGACUAGGUGUUCUCGUUCACGGACACGCACAAUCUGAACGGGAAAUCUGUGUCUUCACCAUCAUCGUCUGCAUUGAAAACAAAUACACUGAGCACAUGGGUGCAUAAUGCCUAUUACCCAGACCCAUUUGUGCCAACUGCAAUCUUAGUUUCUUUUCCUAGACAAAACCCACCGAUGGCCACUGAGACCAGCAGCUUGGUGCAUUCCCACACUGAGAAGAAGCACGAGCCGGCUGACAUGCCCUACCAGACCGGGAAGCUUCACCCCACCAUCCAGGUGGCAGAUCUGCUUUAACACAUCACACAGAUAAAGUGUGCUGAGGGCUCUGGCUUAAAGAAGGAAUACGAAGUGAGCAUGAGCUUUGCACCAGGGCUCCUUCUCAACCUUCCUGGGCAUGAUGCCAGGUACUGUGCUCCCAACUCAUUCAGCCAGCCAGUGGGACCCCAUGAGGGCUGCCAAGAAGGGGCCAUGUAUUUCAUCCAUGGAUCCAUUUCCAUCUGGCUGUGAGACUUAUGACCCGGAAGCUAACAUAUGUUAAAUGGAAAAAGGAGGACCACUUCACCUUUUCCAUAUUCUGUAUGAAUUUGCAAUGAAAACAGAGGCCUACUAGGAUUACCUUUCUUGGCUUUUCCUAUAAUUAUGAUUUUAAAUCCUAAUAAUUUUGUGGUAAUUACCUCAGCAAGAAACUGUCCACUUACAACAAUUUUAGUCCAAUCAGUGAUGUCCUGUGGUGGUGAUGAGACAACAGUAAAGGGACUGGCUAGUGUCAUUGCUGUGACAGCUGUUAUUGUCCUGCCAGCCCAGAGAGCAUGUCACUGUCCUGGGCUCUGGUGCUGACAGCUUUUAGGGGCAUUUCCAGGAACAGUGAUAUUCUUAUCAUAUAUAAAAUGUAGGGCUCACCUUCUUCACAGCCACUGUCAUUAGCUAAUUCUGUGGGAAAAUCAUUCAAGAACUAAAGAGAAUUACUCCAUUUGAAGAAGUCUGAUUCAAAGAAGCACACCGUUACCUGAGUAUGUGUGUGUUGUGUGUAUGUGAGUGAG
Molecule: long non-coding RNA, 1333 nt
Organism: Diceros bicornis minor
Lineage: Eukaryota; Metazoa; Chordata; Mammalia; Perissodactyla; Rhinocerotidae
Exons: 5
Source: RefSeq, a predicted model, not a curated record